CUUCAGGCCAAGAUGGAGCUGCAGGCCCGGGUUCCCCCUGAACACCUCGGAGGAGACGCUUGGAGUCAGAGUAGGGCUUUCAGGCGUGGACCUGCACCCUGUGCAGACGGCAAUCUCAGAGAUGGAAGCAACAGCACAGCUACAGCCUCUGCCACGUCCUGUGGCAUGGUGCCUCCGGGAAGGGACACGAGAAGCGGCUGCCACUCCCCAGGGUGGGGCUGAGACUGCAGAGGCUGAGGGAGCAGAAGCCUGGAUGCCCCAGAGAGGAGAGUACUGAGGACAGAGGGAACCCUGAAGGGACACAGGCUGCACUGGGAAAGGACUACUCAAAGUGGAGUACUACUCUGCAGGAAAGGAUAAACCCGAGUCGUCUGUAGGAAAAUGGAUGCCGCUUGAGACUAUAAGGAAAUGAAUCAGAUGCACAGCUUCAACAUCACAUGGCCUCUCUUAUAUGAGAAACACAAAGUGUAAAUAAAUUAAAGAGCAUAUAAGAUAGCUAAGAAGAAACAGGGAGGUGGAUCUUUUGCAAAUGGGAAGGGGACCAAGAGUUGGGGAGGGGAGAAGGGGACAGGACGAGAAUAGGAAGUGAGGGAUGCAUGUGCACCCUGCGCGAUGAUGUCAUCACUGUGUGCCACAAACACGCACUGAUUUAAAAGCCACAAAAAAGGACGUCCUGAUCUCACGCUUCCACGCUGUGCACACAGCCCGAGGUGGGGUCUCCCGGUCCCACCUGCAGGGCUCUGACCGCUUCCGGGCAGCUGCACUGUUGGGUCCGAGUGGCAGCAUAUCCACCGGAUGGCGGAGGCAGAGGACACCAAGAAGGAGAACAUGCGCGAUCUCCCUCCAGCUCCAAUGAAAACCAGCAGGCGGGAGAGAUCACAGCAUCAUUGCCUCCAGUUUCCUGUGGACUUCGGGGAUGGUUCAACCGCAGUGCUGCUCACCUACACAAACCUGGCCGGCUCAUGGGAUGGUUUGGAUGGAGUCUCCCUCUUCUCUUCUCUUCCUGAUGAUGGGUGAAUCUCAGGUAAGCAACAAGGCUGGGAGGACACAGCUUCAUCAUG
This 1061-nucleotide long non-coding RNA is filed under the name Fukomys damarensis (Damara mole-rat). RNAcentral describes it as "lncRNA (ENSFDAG00000033248.1)". Lineage: Eukaryota; Metazoa; Chordata; Mammalia; Rodentia; Bathyergidae. The record is from RNAcentral.